Archocentrus centrarchus (flier cichlid) is the source of this 1414-nucleotide long non-coding RNA. RefSeq lists it as uncharacterized. The record is from RefSeq and is a predicted model, not a curated record. The transcript has 4 exons. NCBI's taxonomy places the organism in Eukaryota, Metazoa, Chordata, Actinopteri, Cichliformes, Cichlidae.
GGUACUAGCGCCCAUAGAUAUACGUCUAUGCUAGCGCCUAAUGGAAUACCCUAAAAACUAAGCCAAGCUGAGUCUAGCUGAGCUGAGUAGGUACUAGUGGAAAAGCGGCAGUCUCUGAUAUAUCAGCUCUGUAACUAGAGCUCUGCUAGCAUUAUAGAAGUGUCAGUAGACAGACGGGAAACACAGCAGAGAGAGGGGAUGAUCUGCAGCAAAAGGCCCAAACUGGAAUCAAACCUUGGCCAGCGUGACAUGUGGUGCAUGUAGUACCAGGAGGAUGUUGGUCCUGUCAGUCCUAUCUUCUGACCUGCUAGUGGUUCAGAUGGACUUAAUCAACUACUUUGCUGUCCUACCAAUCUACCUGCCUGAUCAGAAACCAGUCUUGUCAAGGAUAAAUAGAGAGAGGAUCCUGCAAUUCCACAGCAAACACCUGAUGACUAACCGGGGUACUCAAGCAGAACUGGUGACACUACAGUUACAUACUUUUCCCAAAGAAUGUCUAAAUGCAAAAACUAUUUAUAUUUCAACAAUGUCUUUGUUUGUAAUGGGCUUUAUAUGUUAUUUUCUCUGUAAUUAACAACGGGCAGUUGGUUGUAAAAUCUUAGCCACUGGUGUUCUAUUUUUUUUCUGGGUGAAGUUCUGGCAACAACAGCUGCCACUGUUCGAAUGUAAUGUUGAUUUUUACAAUUAAAUACUGUUAUGUAUCACACAGUUGUAUUCUGUUUUUCAUCGACUGUAAUUAGGUUUAAGGUAUAUCAUUUGUAUUUGGAAUUGUUUAUCAUAAAUGGUUUUAAAUUGUCACCGUAUUUUAUACAGUAAAAUAUAGGCAACCAUAGCGGCCAGUAUUUUACCAUGAACCCAGCUUACGGUAUUUUGCAUUGAACCCGGUUUACAGUAUUUUGCCGUGGACCCGGUUUACGGUAUUUUACCGUGGACCCGUUUAUGGCAUUGUACUGUGGACCUGGUUACGGUAUUGUACUCUGAUCCCUUUCACGGCUUUGUACCCUGGACCCGUUUACGGUAUUUUUCCUUGCACCCAUUUACAACAAUGUACCCUGAACCUUUUUAUGGUGUUUUACCGUGAACCCAUUUACGGUAAAAUACUGGCAGCUGUGGUUGCCGGUACUUUUCCGUGAACCUGUUUACGGUAAAAUACUGGCAGCUGUGGUUGCCGGUACUUUACCGUGAAUCUGUUUACAGUAUUUACCGUAGAGCAGUUUACAGUUAAGUACUGGCAACCACAGCUGCCAGUAUUUUACCGUAAAUUCAACGGAUUUUUUUUUACAGUGUACAAUUUCUCCUGUGAACAGAACAGAACAGAACGUAAAAUAUCACAAGUUCAAAGUUAUUCUUGAGAGAAAACCUACAAGAAAAAAACUACAGUCACUCCUUUUCUACAGAAAACAGUGUUCGCCUC